GCACCAUUAGCUCAGUUGGUAGAGCAACUGACUCUUAAUCAGUAGGUCCAUGGUUCAAAUCCAUGAUGGUGUACCA
Molecule: transfer RNA, 76 nt
Filed under: Fibrobacterota bacterium
Lineage: Bacteria; Pseudomonadati; Fibrobacterota
Description: Fibrobacteres bacterium (soil metagenome) tRNA-Lys
Rfam family: tRNA
About the family: Transfer RNA (tRNA) molecules are approximately 80 nucleotides in length. Their secondary structure includes four short double-helical elements and three loops (D, anti-codon, and T loops).
Source: RNAcentral